UACGAGGGGUGCAAGCGUUGCUCGGAAUUAUUGGGCGUAAAGGGUAGGUAGGUGGUCUCAUUUGUCAGGGGUGAAAGCCUUGGGCUUAACCCAAGAAGUGCCCCUGAAACGGUGAGACUAGAGUGCUGGAGAGGGUCGUGGAAUUCCCGGUGUAGCGGUGAAAUGCGUAGAGAUCGGGAGGAACACCAGAGGCGAAGGCGGCGACCUGGACAGCUACUGACGCUGAGGCGCGAAAGCUAGGGGAGCAAACAGG
Molecule: ribosomal RNA, 253 nt
Filed under: uncultured bacterium
Lineage: Bacteria
Description: partial 16S ribosomal RNA
Rfam family: Bacterial small subunit ribosomal RNA
Source: RNAcentral